This 616-nucleotide ribosomal RNA is filed under the name uncultured Lachnospiraceae bacterium. RNAcentral describes it as "bacterial SSU rRNA". It matches the Rfam family "Bacterial small subunit ribosomal RNA", at positions 81 to 709 of the family's 1533-position model. Lineage: Bacteria; Bacillati; Bacillota; Clostridia; Lachnospirales; Lachnospiraceae. The record is from RNAcentral.
UUCUUUCCAUCUUAGUGGCGGACGGGUGAGUAACGUGUGGGCAACCUGCCCUGUACUGGGGAAUAAUCAUUGGAAACGAUGACUAAUACCGCAUGUGGUCCUUGGAAGGCAUCUUCUGAGGAAGAAAGGAUUUAUUCGGUACAGGAUGGGCCCGCAUCUGAUUAGCUAGUUGGUGAGAUAACAGCCCACCAAGGCGACGAUCAGUAGCCGACCUGAGAGGGUGAUCGGCCACAUUGGGACUGAGACACGGCCCAAACUCCUACGGGAGGCAGCAGUGGGGAAUAUUGCACAAUGGGCGAAAGCCUGAUGCAGCAACGCCGCGCGAAGGAUGAAGGGUUUCGGCUCGUAAACUUCUAUCAAUAGGGAAGAAACAAAUGACGGUACCUAAAUAAGAAGCCCCGGCUAACUACGUGCCAGCAGCCGCGGUAAUACGUACGGGGCAAGCGUUAUCCGGAAUUACUGGGUGUAAAGGGAGCGUAGGCGGCAUGGUAAGCCAGAUGUGAAAGCCUUGGGCUUAACCCUGAGGAUUGCAUUUGGAACUAUCAAGCUAGAGUACAGGAGAGGAAAGCGGAAUUCCUAGUGUAGCGGUGAAAUGCGUAGAUAUUAGGAAGAACAC